This 350-nucleotide unclassified non-coding RNA is filed under the name Hevea brasiliensis (rubber tree). Lineage: Eukaryota; Viridiplantae; Streptophyta; Magnoliopsida; Malpighiales; Euphorbiaceae. The record is from RNAcentral.
UUUUUUCACUAAUUUUUUCAAGAAUAAGAUCUUUCAAGGUAUUCAUUUGAAGAUUUGUAGUUCUCUCAUGAUCAAGAGACUCCAAAAUCUUUUCAACAAUUAUUUUGACAUCAAACUUUUCAGAAAUGCACACCCACAUUUUAAGCUCAAAAUUUGAUUUCACCAUAUCAUCAUUAUAUGCAAGUUUAGCAAGUGUUGUCUUUCCUAAUCCUCCAAGACCAACAAUGGAAAUGAUCGACACAUUCUCCCUAUAACUAGAAGACAGAAGAAAAUCAAUAAUUUCCUUCUUAUCAUUUUCUCUGCCAACAACUACUUGAGGUAAAGAAGAGUGAGUUUGCUCUCUUUCCUCA